GGGAAUAUUGCGCAAUGGAGGAAACUCUGACGCAGUGACGCCGCGUGCAGGAAGAAGGUUUUCGGAUUGUAAACUGCUUUAGACAGGGAAGAAACAAGACAGUACCUGUAGAAUAAGCUCCGGCUAACUACGUGCCAGCAGCCGCGGUAAUACGUAGGUGGCAAGCGUUAUCCGGAUUUAUUGGGUGUAAAGGGCGUGUAGGCGGGAGCGCAAGUCAGAUGUGAAAACUCAGGGCUCAACCCUGGGCCUGCAUUUGAAACUGUGUUUCUUGAGUGCUGGAGAGGCAAUCGGAAUUCCGUGUGUAGCGGUGAAAUGCGUAGAUAUACGGAGGAACACCAGUGGCGAAGGCGGAUUGCUGGACAGUAACUGACGCUGAGGCGCGAAAGCGUGGGGAGCAAACAGG
RNAcentral lists this ribosomal RNA (403 nucleotides) under uncultured bacterium. Its description in RNAcentral is "bacterial SSU rRNA". It matches the Rfam family "Bacterial small subunit ribosomal RNA", at positions 357 to 776 of the family's 1533-position model. The record is from RNAcentral.